AUUACAAAGUCAGGGCAUGUGAAGUUGUUCUUGGAAAUACUUCCAAAUGUCCUCUGGUAUGUUUUUGUCUUGAAAAGAGGUUUUCCAGCUAAAAAUUCAGCGUACAGAACCUCAAGGCUCCAGAGAGCUCCUUCUCAGCAUAUAUUUGACCUUCAGUCAUCUGAGGAAGCAGGAGGUCACGUACGCCUCUGUGAGUGCUGACCGCUCAGAAUCUUCGGUUCACAGGCCCUCUGGCUGACCCAUAUAGCCAGUUCAUUGCUUAAUAUUCUUGUCACUCACUUUUUGAGAAGUGACUGAUGGGCUUCUGCCAAUUUUGUCAUGGAACUGGCAACACUGCCCACCCACCUUGGAAAGUUCCUGAGACUCCUCCAUGGACUGCUCCCUCAUGGCAGUAGCCAUAUCAUCAGACUGAGGAUUCCCGAGGAUUAAUUGCAAAGUCCGAGACUGCUCAUUGAUUGGGAUGUUAUUCAGUGGCCCGGCGGUGGAUGAGUUAUAAGUACAUCUACAGUGACUUUGGCUUUUGAUUCUGAACUAGUGUUUGGCUGCAGACGGGCUUCUGUGUUUGUGGAGUAAUAUAGUGGGAAGAAUGUGGAGGACAGACUGACUCGAGCUCGGUAACCAAUUCUGAGAAGGAAACUGCAGAGUCACCAGAAUAACCUUUUGGACCACCCCCAAAUGGAGCAUCUUGAUGGAUGGUAAAUCCAAUUUUCCUCGGGCUUGUCCACGCCACCCAGAGCCUGCUGCCUUUUGUCAGACUUAAGACUUCACUGCUGCAGAGUCAUCCUGGGAUCUCCUUCCCUGGCCUUUUGACAGAAGGGAAAUCCUUUUUGUCCUUGAGGGCAGGGACUAUAUUUUACACUUUUCUAUAUACCCUGCAAUACUUAACAAUGAUUUACCCAUAGUAGGAAUUCAUUUAACUCCAUUGAACUCCCUGGAACAGAAGGCCAUCUGUUCCAGGGUUUAGCGGGGUUUGUGAAGGACAGCAGAGUCAUUUCCUGGGGUGAUGUAUGUGAAAGGGAUCCAAAAU
Long non-coding RNA from Bos taurus (domestic cattle), 1027 nucleotides. The record is from Ensembl. Lineage: Eukaryota; Metazoa; Chordata; Mammalia; Artiodactyla; Bovidae.